ACCACAGAGAAAGAAGCAAACAAACUGGUGCCCUUAACCCUUUCUUUGGCGGCUCCUUUGGUCCCCAACCCCCCAAUUUCUUCCAGAUGGGGGUUCCCACUGGGACCCAGAGAGGGGAAUACUCUGGCCCAGGGCCGCGCAGCAGGCGUGCAGAGCCCUCUGCCUCCCAGGCAGGUCUGGAAACGGGGAGCAUCUGUGAAAUGGGCCCAGCGGCAGGCGAGACAGCUCAGCUGCACAGUCACCUGCUUGGCCACGCGUAUACGCCCCAGGUUCCAGUCCGGGCCCCCACCGCACGAUGGCAUGCUCCAGGGCUGUGUUAUCUCCUCCUCCCCUCCCGCCCCUCCAGCUCAUGUCUGAAAAAAGUCCUCCUGGAGCUGUGAA
Erinaceus europaeus (western European hedgehog) is the source of this 381-nucleotide long non-coding RNA. RefSeq lists it as uncharacterized. Lineage: Eukaryota; Metazoa; Chordata; Mammalia; Eulipotyphla; Erinaceidae. The record is from RefSeq and is a predicted model, not a curated record. The transcript is spliced from 2 exons.